This is a non-coding RNA of Paramuricea clavata, 612 nucleotides long. NCBI's taxonomy places the organism in Eukaryota, Metazoa, Cnidaria, Anthozoa, Malacalcyonacea, Plexauridae. The record is from the annotation of a GenBank genome assembly.
AAAGCCACUCGCGUUGCGCGCUCGUGGCUUUAAACCUAAUAAAACACUCUUGCUCGUUUAUUAAACAGUACUUCAAGAGCCGAUGCCUUUACAAAACCUAGCUAAUAAUGAAUUUAUUGUAUCACCCUGAGUUAAAAAUUUAUAUUGUCCAAAUUCGGAAAUCAAACGUACAUUUAAAUUUUGCAAGGUUGCCAAUGAGAUGUGUAUUAAACGGAGAGGAAUGAGCCCGAACUAAUAGUUUGCGUUCGUCGCUGGUCGUCGUGGUCUACGAUUGACGAAGUACAGAUUGUGUAAACAGCUACCGAGAGUAUGCAUAGCAAAAGCCUUUAUAACAGUAAACGAACAACGUUACGGGGCAGUUACGUCGGAAGAUAUCAAUAAAUCUAAAAGUUCAUACAAAAACAGAAUAAAUAACAGUUGUUAUAUAUUACGGUAUUUCUAUUGUAUUAUUAUUAAAAAUUGUUAUUAAUUAACAAGCGUUUGAUGUGAAUCUCUACAUUUCUUCUGGUAACAUAUAUUAAAUUAAUGAAUAUAGGGAGACGGCUUGUUAUACUGAUUUAAAAUUUUGUUAGUCUUGUUUGACAAGUACAGGUGAAAGUGCGCUUUUUCGAG